This 3204-nucleotide long non-coding RNA is filed under the name Homo sapiens (human). RNAcentral's name for it is "CDKN2B and CDKN2A antisense cis and trans regulatory RNA 1, transcript variant 9 (CDKN2B-AS1)". The stretch from base 987 to 1130 matches the Rfam family "CDKN2B antisense RNA 1 convserved region 3". Lineage: Eukaryota; Metazoa; Chordata; Mammalia; Primates; Hominidae. The record is from RNAcentral.
AGCUACAUCCGUCACCUGACACGGCCCUACCAGGAACAGCCGCGCUCCCGCGGAUUCUGGUGCUGCUCGCGUCCCCGCUCCCCUAUUCCCCUUAUUUUAUUCCUGGCUCCCCUCGUCGAAAGUCUUCCAUUCUUCAAACUAGAUUAUUUAAAAAUGAAAAAGGAAGAAAGGAAAGCGAGGUCAUCUCAUUGCUCUAUCCGCCAAUCAGGAGGCUGAAUGUCAGUUUUGAACUAAAAGCCGCUCCGCUCCUCUUCUAGAUUUGGAAAACAAGCGAAAUUAAACUAAACCGCUGCACGCCUCUGACGCGACAUCUGGACACGGCGCGGCGCUGGCGCUGCCGGAGCUGUCGACCCGGCCUGGCGCCGGACUAGGACUAUUUGCCACGACAUUUCAAAGGAUUCCAAGAGAGAAUAUUGGUGUCCAUGCUGUGAUGAUUCCUCAGCUCCUCUCAUCUGAUCUCCGUCCUGGCCCCCAUGACUUUCUUUGUGGUAGUUAGGGUGUGGUAUGUGCCACUGAGGCCCACACCUAUUGCUGCAAUUUAUAGCACUGAUCUGUCAUCAAUACCACUUGCUGUCUUGGAUGUGAAGAUGAUUUUUCCUGCAGGGAUUCCCUCUACAAAAUUAAAAACACUGGGCAUGUGGAAAUAAUAUUCAUGCUUUAAAUUGUCUUUUCUCUUCACUACACCAGGGGUCCCCAACCCCUAGGCCACAGACUGUGGCCCUAGUGUAGUGAAUAGAAAAGACAAUUUAAAGCGUGAAUAUUAUUUCCUCAUGCCCAGUGUUUUUAAUUUUGUACUGGUCUGUGGCUUGUUAGAAACCAGGCUGCACAGCAGAAGGUGGGCAGCAGAUAUUGAGAAACCACAGAAAGAGAGAAGUUAAAUAAUUUUCCUGUCAAAGACCACAUCAAUGAUGAAGCCAGAAUUUGAGCUCAUGUACUUAACCACUGGACUACCUGCCUGCCCUGUCGAGGAACAGCUAAGUGUCCCUUUUGAUGAGAAGAAUAAGCCUCAUUCUGAUUCAACAGCAGAGAUCAAAGAAAAGACUUCUGUUUUCUGGCCACCAGAUAUAUGUUAUCUGUGCUUAAAGAAUUGAAAAACACACAUCAAAGGAGAAUUUUCUUGGAAAGAGAGGGUUCAAGCAUCACUGUUAGGUGUGCUGGAAUCCUUUCCCGAGUCAGUACUGCUUUCUAGAAGAAAACCGGGGAGAUCUAUUUGGAAUGUAUCUAACUCCAAAGAAACCAUCAGAGGUAACAGUAGAGACGGGGUUUCACCAUGUUGGCCAGACUGGUCUUGAACUCUCGACCUCGUGAUUCGCCCGCCUCGGCCUCCCAAAGUGCUGGGAUUACAGGUGUGAGACACCACACCCGGCGGAUAGAGAGAAUUUUGACAGUCUCUCCAAUGAACGCCUUCACUGAUAUCCAAAGCAUGAAGGACACACCAGGGAAAAACAUAGACCUAACACAGGACAAAUGGAAUUAUUAGAAACAUUUUCUAGCAGAAGAACACUAUUCUGUUGCCAUUUGAAUCUUUGCUUCUUUCUAGGUUUGACAAUGAGCCUAUCAUAUAAGCCCAAAUGUAAACAGAAAGAGGUUGAAUCAGUCACGAUAAGCCCAAUUAUGCUGUGGUAACAAACAACCUCAAAAUCUCAUUGGCUUAAAAUAUACAGAAUUAUUCUUACUCAUGGCACAUAUCCAUCUAUCAUCUGCAGGGGAUCUGCUCACUGAAGUCACUUAGGAACUUGGACUGAUGGAACGGCCACUUUUUGGUCACUAUAUGUAUUAAUCUGUUUUAAUCCUGCUGAUAAAGACCCAAAAUUGGGAACAAAAAGAAGUUUAACUAGACUUACAGUUCCGCAUGGCUGAGGAGGCCUCAGAAUCAUGGUGGGAGGCGAAAGGCACUUCUUACAUGGUGGCAGCAAGAGAAAAAUGAGGAAGAAGCAAAAGCGGAAACCUCUGAUAAACCCAUCAGAUCUUAUGAGACUUAUUCCACUAUCAAGAGAAUAGCAUGGGAAAGACUGGCUCCCAUAAUUUACCUCCCUCUGGGUCCCUCCCUCAACAUGUGGGAAUUCUGGGAGAAACAAUUCAAGAUAUGACACAUUCAUAAUUUAAACAGAAGCCUACGAAGAACUCAUAAAUUAAAAGAAGAUAAUCUUUUCACAAGGUGAUGGAGGCUUUUUAUUUUGCCACAAAACCACUGGUGACGUUGCCUGUGGCCACCUUGGAGAAGACACUGGAGGCCUGGGACAUGGAGACUGCUUUUCUGCAGAAACCACAUCCCUUGGAGUAAUGAGCUACACCUACCUCAAUUAUUCAGUGCAGUACAACACUCCAGACAGGGUCUCACUCUGUCACCCAGGCUGGAGUGUAUUGGCAUGAUUACAGCUCACUGCAACCUUGAACUCCCAGGCUCAAACCUGAGCAGCUGGGACUACAGAUGCACCACCAUGCAUGGAUGAUUACGGAGCUAGGAAUUUCCUACGAAGCUGGGUGAUAAAAGGACAUUGGACAAAAACACAGAUAGCUUCAUUCUAUACCAGGAUCCAUCACUGAUUAGCUGUAUUAUAUUUGUCUCUACUGUAAUUUGAGGAGAAUGAUACCUGCUUCUCUAUCUUGUUGGGUUUUACAGAUGAUGUAUUGAAAGUUCAAUAAAAUCUAUAAACAAUAGAUCUCUGUGGCUUGAAUGGUCCUCAGAUAUCUUGACCAAUGAUUCUCAAAUGCUUACCAUAGACCAUAAUUUUUCCCCACAUGACACUGCUUCAUAUUUUUAAGUUUUUUUUCACCAAAUAUUUUGUUUUACUAUCUCCAAGCCCUGAAACUUUUUUUCUCCCUCAAACAUGACUUCAACUUUACUAUCCUGGUCCCUUUCUAUUGAAUGUGUUUUGUUUGUGUCUAUAUUUCUUAUAGUGUCUUGAACUGAUUGUACUUACGAUAUGACUUGACUAGCAUAAGAUAGAAUAGGGCAGUCAUCUUCUUUGAUCUAGACUAGAUGCUAUCCUUCUAUUAAUGCAGUUGCUAGUUUUGUAUUUGCUUGCUUUCAAUUUUUUUUUUUCAGAUUUUGGUAACCACUGUUACUUGACUCGUAUCAAACUUAUCAGUAGCUAAAACCCCCAUUUUCCCUCUUCCUGUGCUUAUUUGACUAGUUUUGUUGCGCUUUCUGAAAUGUUUCUCACUUGUUUUUGACCAAAAAAAUAAAAAUAACAAAUGCCA